GCCCUCGUAGCUCAAUGGACAGAGCACCUGCCUUCUAAGCAGUAGGUUGUGGGUUCGAUCCCCGCCGAGGGCG
RNAcentral lists this transfer RNA (73 nucleotides) under Anaerolineales bacterium. Its description in RNAcentral is "tRNA-Arg". It matches the Rfam family "tRNA". Rfam says of the family: Transfer RNA (tRNA) molecules are approximately 80 nucleotides in length. Their secondary structure includes four short double-helical elements and three loops (D, anti-codon, and T loops). Lineage: Bacteria; Bacillati; Chloroflexota; Anaerolineae; Anaerolineales. The record is from RNAcentral.